This 232-nucleotide long non-coding RNA is filed under the name Cicer arietinum (chickpea). Its description in RNAcentral is "long non-coding RNA (CARI_LNC002569)". The record is from RNAcentral. Lineage: Eukaryota; Viridiplantae; Streptophyta; Magnoliopsida; Fabales; Fabaceae.
UUGCAUUUAACAUAUUUUUAUCAUAAUCCAAACCUAACUUUUAUUGCGUUCCUUUUUUGUUCUCAUCACAAAUAUGGACGCUAUUGGAUUAUUCCUUUAUAGAAUCUCCAACUAAACAUCAAGAUCUGACAAUUUCAUAUGGAUUUCUUUGUUUAUGUGCUGCUAAGCUUCGCAAAUUCGAUCAUCAGGUAAUGUUUCUCUAAUUCAUUUGCUCUCUAGUGUUGUUUCUAAG